UGUUGAUGUCGCUGCGUCUUUAAACAAUCUUGGUUUGGUGUUUACUGAAACUGGAAACUACGACAAAGCUAAAGAGGUUCACGAAAAAGCUCUGGAAAUUCGACAACAAUUGUUAGGUCCAAAUCAUGUUGAUGUCGCUGCGUCUUUAUACAAUCUUGGUAUCGUGUGUUAUGAUACUGGAAAGUACGACAAAGCUAUAGAGUUUUACGAAAAA
Long non-coding RNA from Xenia sp. Carnegie-2017, 214 nucleotides. RefSeq lists it as uncharacterized. The transcript has 2 exons. NCBI's taxonomy places the organism in Eukaryota, Metazoa, Cnidaria, Anthozoa, Malacalcyonacea, Xeniidae. The record is from RefSeq and is a predicted model, not a curated record.